UCAAGCGAACAAGGGCGCAGGGCGAAUGCCUUGGCACUGGGAGCCGAUGAAAGACGUGAUAAGCUGCGAUAAGCUUCGGGGAGCUGCAAAUAAGCAUUGAUCCGGAGAUUUCUGAAUGAGGAAACUCACCUGGGUUCAUACUCAGGUACAAUACACUGAAAUUCAAAAUAGGUGUAUUGAGGGAACCGCCUGAACUGAAACAUCUAAGUAGGGCGAGGAAGAGACAUCAAACGAGAUUCCGUAAGUAGUGGCGAGCGAACGCGGAAGAGGGCAAACCGAGAGUAGAAAUACUUUCGGGGUACGGACUGCUUUUAAGACUCAAUCUGUUAACCGAACGGCAUGGGAAGGCCGGUCAGAGAGUGUGAGAACCACGUAGGUGAAAACGGAGAGAGCUGCGCAGGAUCCAGAGUACGGCCAGACACGUGAAACCUGGUCGGAAUACGGGGGGACCACCCUCCAACCCUAAAUACUACCCAGUGACCGAUAGCGUAUAGUACUGUGAAGGAAAGGUGAAAAGCACCCCGGGAGGGGAGUGAAAAAGAACCUGAAACCCUGUGCCUACAAGCACCUAGAGCGCGUCAAAGCGUGAUAGGGUACUUUUUGUAGAACGGUCCGGCGAGCGAUUGUAUGCAGCAAGGUUAAGGACUUAAGGUCUGGAGCCGAAGCGAAAGCGAGUUUGAAAAGGGCGUUAAGUUGCAUAUAAUGGGCCCGAAACCGGGUGACCUACCCAUGGUCAGGUUGAAGUGGAAGUAAAAUUCCAUGGAGGACCGAACCGACCUCCGUUGAAAAGGCGGCGGAUGAACUGUGGGUAGCGGAGAAAUUCCAAUCGAACCCGGAGAUAGCUGGUUCUCCCCGAAAUAGUUUUAGGACUAGCCUCAAGUUAGAUACCUGGAGGUAAAGCACUGAAUAGCCUAGCGGCCGAGAGGUUAGCGAAGCUUAUCAAACUCAGAAUGCCAGAGUAUUGAUGCUUGGGAGUCAGACAGUGUCAGAUAAAUGUCAUUGUCAAAAGGGAAACAGCCCAGAUCUACAGCUAAGGUCCCAAAGUCAGGUUAAGUGGAAAACGAUGUGAAGAUACGCAGACAACCAGGAUGUUGGCUCAGAAGCAGCCACUCAUUCAAAGAGUGCGUAAUAGCUCACUGGUCGAGCGUCUUUGCGCGGAGAAUUUAACGGGGCUAAACCUGACACCGAAGCUUAGGCAAUACAGAAAUGUAUUGGGUAGGGGAGCGUUGUAUACGCGGAGAAACAGUAGCGCAAGCGGCUGUGGAGUGUAUAGAAGUGAGAAUGCCGGAAUGAGUAGCGCGAAUGCAGUGAGAAUCUGCAUGGCCGAAAGCCUCAGGUUUCUGGAGGAAGGUUCGUCCGCUCCAGGUUAGUCGGGAGCUAAGGUGAGGCCGGAAGGCGUAGCCGAUGCACAGACGGUAGAGAUUCCGUCACCACCAAAAGAGUUAAGCACAGGGACACAUAUGAAGUCUCAGAGCCGGGUGUUGGUUCCGGUAGAGAUCGAGGGAAAUUAGUACCGAAGUCUGAGAUGGAAGAUGGCGAGAAAAGCUGUGUGUAUUUCUGAGGUGCCCGUACCGCAAACCGACACAGGUAGGUAGGAAGAAGAUUCUAAGGCCAACGGGAGAAGGGUUGUUAAGGAACUCGGCAAAUUGACCCCGUAACUUCGGGAGAAGGGGUGCUCCAGAGAUGGAGCCGCAGAGAAUCGGCCCAAGCAACUGUUUACCAAAAACACAGGUUUGUGCUAAAUCGAAAGAUGACGUAUACGAGCUGACGCCUGCCCGGUGCUGGAAGGUUAAGAGGAGAUGUGCAAGCAUUGAAUCGAAGCCCCAGUGAACGGCGGCCGUAACUAUAACGGUCCUAAGGUAGCGAAAUUCCUUGUCAGGUAAG
This 1884-nucleotide ribosomal RNA is filed under the name human gut metagenome. RNAcentral's name for it is "bacterial LSU rRNA". It matches the Rfam family "Bacterial large subunit ribosomal RNA", at positions 3 to 1980 of the family's 2925-position model. The record is from RNAcentral.